This 253-nucleotide ribosomal RNA is filed under the name uncultured bacterium. Its description in RNAcentral is "partial 16S ribosomal RNA". It matches the Rfam family "Bacterial small subunit ribosomal RNA", at positions 524 to 776 of the family's 1533-position model. The record is from RNAcentral.
UACGGAGGGGGCGAGCGUUAUUCGGAAUUAUUGGGCGUAAAGGGCGCGUAGGCGGCCCGGUAAGUCAAAGGUGAAAUCCCUCGGCUCAACUGAGGAACUGCCUUUGAAACUGCUGGGCUUGAGUCCGGGAGGGGGUAGCGGAAUUCCCAGUGUAGCGGUGAAAUGCGUAGAUAUUGGGAGGAACACCGGUGGCGAAGGCGGCCCUCUGGACGGAUACUGACGCUGAGGCGCGAAAGCGUGGGGAUCAAACAGG